CCUGUCUUUCUCGGAAUCUAACAAUGGCGAACGAUCGUGAAAUACUCCACCCAGUGUAAUAAUGAUACUCUUGGUGUAAAAGUAGAGUGGUUGUGCUAAACCCGCACAUUUUGUCGAGAAUAGACCGAAACUGGUACUGUCAGAGUUUCCCUCGCUCCACGAGUACGCUAAGAGUGUUCGGAGGCUGUUUCACACGAGUUAUACUGUGUGAGCUCAGAGUGAUUAAGUACAAACAGAGAAAUGCAACGCGAAGGAACAUUUAAAGAGUUCUUCGAUUUCCUAACCGAAACAUAUGAGAAGCAUAAGAGAAAGCCACAAAAUUUAGAGAAAGAACUGAGAAAGGUUAUCAAGAGGGGAAAAGAAAUGUUACAAGAAUUACAAAGGCGAGACAGUCCAAAGAGAGAAGAGCAAGAGUUGCAUAAAGAUUGGCAGCAACGUUCAGACAUCGUGAAAAACAAGGGUGAAGAAUGUGGAACAACUGCGCUCGACGAGAGGUAUUUUUAUUUUUUUUUUGACCACGUAUAAAAUUACCUUCAAAUUGAAGGAGAGAAACGUACCAUUGUAUUUUCUGGUGCUUCAUAUUCAUGUUGUUAUUUAGUAGUCACAUAUUCUAUGUAAGUUCGCUUAUAUAUCAGACCGACUAGCGGUUUAUUUGUAUUUACAACUGAAGAUGGAUGGUGGUUAUCCGAAACAUGUUUAUUUGCAAACUUAAAACUGUGUUUUUUAUCGCAAAGUAAUUGAUUGUUUUUUGAAUAUUGAACUCGCUAGUCGAUCCAAGAGUGCAAUACUGAAUUGAUUAUUUGAAUAUUGAACUCGCUAGUCGGUCCAAGAGUGCAAUACUGAAUUGAUUAUUUGAAUAUUGAACGCGCUAGUCGUUCCAAGAAUGCAAUUAUGGAUUUAUUAUUUGAAUAUUGAACUCGCUAGUUGUUUCAAGAAUUUACGGCUAACGGGUUCAAUAUUCAAAUGUUCAAUUUAAAAUUGUACUUAGUGAAACGACUAGCCGGUUUAUUAUUUAAAACAUCAAUUCAUUAUUGCAUUCUUGAAACGAAAAGCG
RNAcentral lists this long non-coding RNA (1054 nucleotides) under Orbicella faveolata. Its description in RNAcentral is "uncharacterized LOC110060341, transcript variant X1". The record is from RNAcentral. Lineage: Eukaryota; Metazoa; Cnidaria; Anthozoa; Scleractinia; Merulinidae.